Mastomys coucha (southern multimammate mouse) is the source of this 830-nucleotide long non-coding RNA. RefSeq lists it as uncharacterized. The record is from RefSeq and is a predicted model, not a curated record. NCBI's taxonomy places the organism in Eukaryota, Metazoa, Chordata, Mammalia, Rodentia, Muridae. The transcript has 3 exons.
GAUGAGCCACCUCACCAACCUCCCAUUUUGAAAAAAAAAAUCUGUAAUGAUUUUCAUGAAGACCUUGCAGCUUGGUUAUGGAGCCACAGUUAGACCUUACGUUGGUGAUUGAGAUAUAUUUGUGCCACCUCAUGGAAGAAGCCUGAACUGCAGCUUGAACACAGAUGGCAGUAAAAAGGCCUUCUCUCCUAGCGCUCGCCCCCUAAAAGACAGAAAGACCACCAAUCCAGCCCUCAACACACCGGAAGCAACGACAGAAACCACCCCCUUUCCGGGACAUCAUCCAUGGUCGUCUGCAGUUUAGUCCUGCUCUUACCGCUCCCCAGGUGGUCCCUACUCUUUUUGGAUCCCCAAUCCCCCCGUCACUGGUAGCUGCCUUCCUCCGCUUUUUCCACCCCGUGGCUUUUAGCCGGGAAAACGUGCUGUGAUUUCCCUGCUGACCCUCUCCCCUUAAGCCGACUGGCGCUGCCCGGCAGUCUCCGGCAACAGUGCCGGAGGCAGUAGCCACACCACCUCCGUCCCAGAGGUCUCAGCGAAGGUCGCAGCCAACGAGAAUCUCGCAGCAUCUUUCCGGGGCCACACCGGACACAGUAACAUACCACAGAUUCCCCAGCCGGCUUGACUCCGGUUUGACCCAGGGAGUUGUUAGCAGGCCAACUCAUUCUUGAAGCUGGGCAUCUUUUAUGCUAAAACUCAUUAAAUGCCUGACCUUCCCGUUAGUCAUUUGUUCGAGCAUGAUUCACAAGGUUAUCAAUCAUUCUGAAGUGGGGCCUCAUUUUAUUGUGUGAAUAGUUUAUGGUGGCUCAAUAAAGCUGCUGCACCAAUCCCGA